Molecule: long non-coding RNA, 219 nt
Filed under: Elaeis guineensis (African oil palm)
Lineage: Eukaryota; Viridiplantae; Streptophyta; Magnoliopsida; Arecales; Arecaceae
Description: long non-coding RNA (EGUI_LNC060117)
Source: RNAcentral
GCGGUAGAUCAGUUUUGGUAAUUUCUUCAGGAAUAGGAGGCGACAGACGGAGUGACAAAGAUCACGAUGAGGGCGGUCCAAGUCCAGAAUGAGAGACUUGAGCAAGAUUAGAUGUUAUCGAUGUGACGAGUUGGGGCAUCUAGCUAGAGAUUGCCCUCAACUCCGGGAUCAGAUGAGGACUACUAUAGUGAUGGCCAGUAGUGACUCAGAGGGUGAUGC